AUGCCUCGAUGUGCUUGGAACAACAAGUCCAUGAAUGAGCUUAUCAACGACCUUGGAGGUGAGCUCGUAAGUAUGUUUGUUCCUCCAGACAGCUGGGCUCUGACAGUUAUGGCAUGGAUGAAGAAGCCGUCCACCAUACCGAAGGUGAUUGGUGUUGAGAUACCGGUGCAGGAACCGGGGUCGUACUAUUCAUCGCCACCAAGGCCACCGCGGACCACAUUAGGGAUGUACCUGUAUCGAGUGUUCGUGCAUGUCGAAGAAGUGGUCAAUCCAUCAAUCAAAGUCCUGCCGCCGCCGCUGGUGCCCGGGUCCAUCGACGAAGUCCAUUACACGAGUCAACGUCGGACUUUCCCUGUGUUGCUCGGAACGAUGGAUGGCACAGGGCCUACUCCAUCACGCGGUGGAGGCCACUGCUUCUUUGGGAGAAGAGGCAGGGCUGGCUGCCUGGAUGUGCUCCAAUUUGAGGUAACAACUGAAUCUUGUCAGAUACUAGUUAAAUCCGAGCUAUGGGUGUGA
This 516-nucleotide ribosomal RNA is filed under the name Triticum aestivum (bread wheat). RNAcentral's name for it is "partial small subunit ribosomal RNA". The record is from RNAcentral. Lineage: Eukaryota; Viridiplantae; Streptophyta; Magnoliopsida; Poales; Poaceae.